RNAcentral lists this ribosomal RNA (427 nucleotides) under uncultured prokaryote. RNAcentral's name for it is "bacterial SSU rRNA". It matches the Rfam family "Bacterial small subunit ribosomal RNA", at positions 355 to 774 of the family's 1533-position model. The record is from RNAcentral.
UGGGGAAUUUUGGACAAUGGGCGCAAGCCUGAUCCAGCCAUGCCGCGUGUAUGAAGAAGGCCUUCGGGUUGUAAAGUACUUUUGUCAGGGAAGAAAAGCCUGGAGAUAACACCCCCAGGUCAUGACGGUACCUGAAGAAUAAGCACCGGCUAACUACGUGCCAGCAGCCGCGGUAAUACGUAGGGUGCGAGCGUUAAUCGGAAUUACUGGGCGUAAAGCGAGCGCAGACGGUUAUUUAAGCAAGAUGUGAAAGCCCCGGGCUCAACCUGGGAACUGCGUUUUGAACUGGGUAACUAGAGUGUGUCAGAGGGGGGUAGGAUUCCACGUGUAGCAGUGAAAUGCGUAGAGAUGUGGAGGAAUACCGAUGGCGAAGGCAGCCCCCUGGGAUAACACUGACGUUCAUGCUCGAAAGCGUGGGUAGCAAACA